This 492-nucleotide ribosomal RNA is filed under the name uncultured bacterium. Its description in RNAcentral is "partial 16S ribosomal RNA". It matches the Rfam family "Bacterial small subunit ribosomal RNA", at positions 29 to 507 of the family's 1533-position model. The record is from RNAcentral.
AGUGAACGCCGGCGGCAGGCCUAACACAUGCAAGUCGAACGGCAGCACAGUAAGAGCUUGCUCUUACGGGUGGCGAGUGGCGGACGGGUGAGGAAUACAUCGGAAUCUACUUUUUCGUGGGGGAUAACGUAGGGAAACUUACGCUAAUACCGCAUACGACCUACGGGUGAAAGCAGGGGAUCUUCGGACCUUGCGCGAUUGAAUGAGCCGAUGUCGGAUUAGCUAGUUGGCGGGGUAAAGGCCCACCAAGGCGACGAUCCGUAGCUGGUCUGAGAGGAUGAUCAGCCACACUGGAACUGAGACACGGUCCAGACUCCUACGGGAGGCAGCAGUGGGGAAUAUUGGACAAUGGGCGCAAGCCUGAUCCAGCCAUACCGCGUGGGUGAAGAAGGCCUUCGGGUUGUAAAGCCCUUUUGUUGGGAAAGAAAAGCAGCAGGUUAAUACCCCGCUGUUCUGACGGUACCCAAAGAAUAAGCACCGGCUAACUUCGUG